CCUACGGGAGGCAGCAGUGGGGAAUAUUGGGCAAUGGGCGCAAGCCUGACCCAGCAACGCCGCGUGAAGGAAGAAGGCUCUAGGGUUGUAAACUUCUUUUCUCAGGGACGAAGCAAGUGACGGUACCUGCGGCAUAAGCCACGGCUAACUACGUGCCAGCAGCCGCGGCAAUACGGAGGUGGCAAGCGUUAUCCGGAUUUACUGGGUGUAAAGGGCGUGUAGGGGGGAAAGCAAGUCAGAUGUGAAAACCAUGGGCUCAACCUGUGGCCUGCAUUUGAAACUGUUUGUCUUGAGUACUGGAGAGGCAGGCGGAAUGCCUAGUGUAGCGGUGAAAUGCGUAGAUAUUAGGAGGAACCCCGGUGGCGAAGGCAGUCUGCUGGACAGCAACUGACGCUGAGGCGCGAAAGCGUGGGGAGCAAACAGGAUUAGAUACCCGUGUAGUC
Molecule: ribosomal RNA, 443 nt
Filed under: uncultured bacterium
Lineage: Bacteria
Description: partial 16S ribosomal RNA
Rfam family: Bacterial small subunit ribosomal RNA
Source: RNAcentral